RNAcentral lists this ribosomal RNA (253 nucleotides) under uncultured bacterium. RNAcentral describes it as "partial 16S ribosomal RNA". It matches the Rfam family "Bacterial small subunit ribosomal RNA", at positions 524 to 776 of the family's 1533-position model. The record is from RNAcentral.
UACGUAGGUGGCAAGCGUUGUCCGGAUUUACUGGGCGUAAAGAGCGCGCAGGCGGUCGUUCAAGUCGCGUGUGAAAGCCCCCGGCUCAACUGGGGAGGGUCACGCGAUACUGAUCGACUCGAAGGCAGGAGAGGGUAGUGGAAUUCCCGGUGUAGUGGUGAAAUGCGUAGAUAUCGGGAGGAACAUCAGUGGCGAAGGCGACUACCUGGCCUGUUCUUGACGCUGAGGCGCGAAAGCUAGGGGAGCAAACGGG